This is a non-coding RNA of Pelobates cultripes (western spadefoot toad), 216 nucleotides long. The record is from the annotation of a GenBank genome assembly. NCBI's taxonomy places the organism in Eukaryota, Metazoa, Chordata, Amphibia, Anura, Pelobatidae.
ACAAAAUAUAACAAUUUAUUAUAAAUAAGUAGCACUUACAAUGUUGCAAGUUAAAACCAGCGUGUCUCCACUCCAGGUGGUAUUCACAUGCAAUAACUGAUCCAAUGGCAGCACAGGAUAUUAGACAGCAGCAAAGAAUGGAGAGUACAAAUAAACAAUAAAAUAAAUGAAUAAAAAGUAGAAUAAAAAGUUCCAACGCGUUUCGUCCGUCUAGGG